This 460-nucleotide ribosomal RNA is filed under the name uncultured bacterium. RNAcentral describes it as "partial 16S ribosomal RNA". It matches the Rfam family "Bacterial small subunit ribosomal RNA", at positions 338 to 795 of the family's 1533-position model. The record is from RNAcentral.
CCUACGGGAGGCAGCAGUGAGGAAUAUUGGUCAAUGGACGCGAGCCUGAACCAGCCAAGUAGCGUGAAGGAUGACUGCCCUACGGGUUGUAAACUUCUUUUAUAAAGGAAUAAAUUCAGCCACGUGUGCCUUUUUGUAUGUACUGUAUGAAUAAGGAUCGGCUAACUCCGUGCCAGCAGCCGCGGUAAUACGGAGGAUCCGAGCGUUAUCCGGAUUUAUUGGGUUUAAAGGGAGCGUAGAUGGGUUGUUAAGUCAGUUGUGAAAGUUUGCGGCUCAACCGUCAAAUUGCCAGUGAUACUGGCAGCCUUGAGUACAGUUGAGGUAGGCGGAAUGCGUGGUGUAGCGGUGAAAUGCUUAGAUAUCACGAAGAACUCCGAUUGCGAAGGCAGCUUACUAAACUGCCACUGACAUUGAUGCUCGAAAGUGUGGGUAUCAAACAGGAUUAGAUACCCGUGUAGUC